Molecule: ribosomal RNA, 459 nt
Filed under: uncultured bacterium
Lineage: Bacteria
Description: partial 16S ribosomal RNA
Rfam family: Bacterial small subunit ribosomal RNA
Source: RNAcentral
CCUACGGGAGGCAGCAGUGGGGAAUAUUGGGCAAUGGAGGCAACUCUGACCCAGCAACGCCGCGUGAAUGAUGAAGGUUCUAUGGAUCGUAAACCUCUUUUAUAAGGGAAUAAAGUGCGGGACGUGUCCCGUUUUGUAUGUACCUUAUGAAUAAGGAUCGGCUAACUCCGUGCCAGCAGCCGCGGUAAUACGGAGGAUCCGAGCGUUAUCCGGAUUUAUUGGGUUUAAAGGGUGCGUAGGCGGCCUUUUAAGUCAGCGGUGAAAGUCUGUGGCUCAACCAUAGAAUUGCCGUUGAAACUGGGAGGCUUGAGUAUGUUUGAGGCAGGCGGAAUGCGUGGUGUAGCGGUGAAAUGCUUAGAUAUCACGCAGAACCCCGAUUGCGAAGGCAGCCUGCCAAGCCAUGACUGACGCUGAUGCACGAAAGCGUGGGGAUCAAACAGGAUUAGAUACCCUUGUAGU